CAGAAAAUAAUUUAAACAAAAUAUUUACUUUGGGAGUAAAAAAUCUAUUAUCUUAAUUGCUUUCUGA
This 67-nucleotide transfer RNA is filed under the name Clavisyllis tenjini. RNAcentral describes it as "tRNA-Pro". Lineage: Eukaryota; Metazoa; Annelida; Polychaeta; Phyllodocida; Syllidae. The record is from RNAcentral.